RNAcentral lists this unclassified non-coding RNA (3413 nucleotides) under Orbicella faveolata. RNAcentral describes it as "trichohyalin-like, transcript variant X2". Lineage: Eukaryota; Metazoa; Cnidaria; Anthozoa; Scleractinia; Merulinidae. The record is from RNAcentral.
GUAACUAAAUGUUCACCGUCGAUUGCAGCAGGAUAGAAGGUCUGGCAGAGAUGAACCAGUUUUGACGCCAAAACAGUUCCUCUAAUGGAAGUAAAAUGGUUCUUCCAUUUGAAAGACAGCCACUCUUGCACAAGAGAUACGCCGCUCUUUCUUCCCCUGAUUUGACGCGCUUCAACUCCGACAAACACGACGACUCGGGGAAGGGAGACGAAUAUGCGAAUUUUCUCAAGUCAUUGGCAAUUGGAGAAAGACAAGAUGUUGGGACAACUAGACCAAAACCAAAGCAAGGUCACUCGUCCCCAUCAAGCAAAGAUCCCAAGCAGGUUAAGAGAUCAGGGGGGAGUUCUGUGUCACCACAGAGAAGCGAGGGCCUGCUGCAUGUUACACUAACUGCUAAACACAAUGUGCAACAACACAAGAAGAAAAUGAGAGUGAUUGAGGAUCAUAUGCUGCAACAUAAACAAGAGGAGAGGGAACUGAAGCGAUAUGAAGGAGACAUUGUAAAGAAACAACACCACUUAAGAAGGACCAUGGCAGAAUAUGAAAACAGUAUUUAUAAAAAGAUGAGGGGUGAAGAAAGUAGACUCAGUGAGAACAACCAAGGCAUUGAGAAGGUUAAACAGCAACAUUAUAUCCAAGAAGACAAGGUUAACAAAGCGAGGAUAGAGAGAAACAUGUCUGGUCUUGUCAAGUUUAAAGACAAAGACAGGAAAGAUGUCUUAAACAUGGGCGAAGCUGAAUUUCAGUAUUGCAAGACUGCCAAGCAAUUGGACUUGACUCGAUCAGAGAUUUUUGCGCUAACACAGCAGUUUGAAGAGGACUUAAAAAGAAUAGAGGAGAAAGGAUAUGCAUUGAAGAAGAGUCUAGCUGACCUAGCUAUUGCUGCAAAUAAGAUAGCACUCAAAAAGAGAUCACAAGAAAUAGACGAUCAGCGAUAUUGGAAAGACACAAGUAUCAAAGAUAUUCAGGAUGACAGACGGCGCAAGCAAAGCUUGACAGAGAAACUCAAAGGGAUAUCAAACCAAGGACUUAAACAUGAAUACGGCAAGCGACGGUUGAGUAGAGACUUGAUGGUAUCUAAGGACAUGUUGUCUUUGAAGACAAGAGAAGAGGGCCGAAAAAUGACAGAUAUAAAUCGCAGGUUACAACACAAUUCAGUGAGCCAGAAGCAAGCUAAACAGGCGGCAGAGUAUCUUGAACUUGAUCGUCAAGGGAAGGAGAUUGAAGAGCGAGGACAGUUUGCCGAGGCUCGAAGAAACCAGCAGAUUGAGCAGCUGACUAAGGACAGGAAGCAUCAACAUGUCCAUCAAAUGGUGGAGUGGAAGAAGCGCUAUCUAGAAAAGCAAAAUGAAACCACUCGACGUGCGCACGAGGACAGUCUAAAGCAUUUACAGAAAGUUGUAAACAAGAUGGAGGAGACUGAGCAUGCGCUUUACAACCGUGUACGAGCCGCCGAAAUGCAGCGACGAAAGCAGGAACAAGAUGUACAGAGAAUCUUCAACGACCUGGAAUCACUGACGAAAGAAAACCAAAAACGAAUGAGGGAAACCCAAGAACAGUAUAAUCGAAAAAAAGUUGAUUUAGAACAGAAGCUUUUACGAGAGAAAGCUGAGCUGGCAAAGGCUCACCAUCAACGCGAAGAAAGCAUCCAGAGGCUGUUACAUCACAGAUCAAGGAUGAAUGGAGACAGAUACAUGCUGUCAGAGGAAGAACGGGAGCAUGACCGUCUAUCAAGGAUUGGCCAGAAAACAGAUCAUUUGGAACAAGAAGUUCAAUCUUGACCACCGUGAUAUGUGACGUCAUCUCCAGGCGCAAAAUUGUUCUGCGUGUGAACGUGUUUUUAUGGUGGUUGUUGUUUUUGUUGUUACUGUUGUUGUGUUUGUGAGUGUGAAACUUUUUACUCUUUCCUCUAGUUCUUUUAAGCCAAGCUGAAAAGCUUUCCAAAAUCAUUCAACGUAUCUUUCAUUUUCAGGAUAAUUUUAAUUUUUCGAUACGUCCUGGCUUGAAUGGUCAAUUCAAACCGAGUCAUUUACUUACUGAGUUGUAAAAUAACAGAAAAAAAGACAACGUCCUCUGUCAUAACCUCGUGGGACGUACCACCCUACCACCAAGCUCCAAGCUACAAUUCCCCCGUCCCACCCCCUAGAAAAGGUGUUAUCUCGCGCAUGUUGCGAGUAACGACCAACGAUCUUGCUGACAACUUAACAAAUGAUCUUUCAAGGAUCUGUUUACGAUAUACCCUGUAUUAAGUAGGUUUUGGGUGUUCACAAAUUGCCGAUAUCUUUUGUGGUUUUCAGUUUGAUGUCAGUUGUUCUGGACCUUAAUACCUUAGAUGUACGCAAUCCAGUUCAACGGACAACAAACUGGCAAUCUUCUUGCAAAUAUUUUCCGUCCUCUAUUUGUUUCUGCAAUUCGUCCUUGAACUUCAAUUUUGAGAUCACUAACGUAGACGAAUGCGAGAUAUUCCGGUGGCUUGAUUUAUAGAGCGGCAAAGCGUUUUUUUUUCUCAUGUACGAAGCAAGUAGAUUUUUCUACAAAGCAUCUUUUGGCAUUAUUUCUUAUAUCAAUGUACAAUUAGUAGCAUUGUUUUGCAAAAUCUGUUAGGUAGGUACUUGAUAAUUUAUUACUAUAUGAGACCUCCUUAUCCAUUUUUCCUUUUUCCUUGACUACGCUACACUGUUGCUACCGACUAUUUUAAGGUUUUCAUCUAAGCUUUUUACCCUACGUUAGUGUUAAGGUGUGUAUCCAAAUGGCCUAGGCAAAUAUCAACUUAAUAUAUCAUGGUCGCAUCAGGUAAGCUUGAAUUGCUAACGUAUAUAUCAUUGCACUUACUCAGGGAAAAUAUAUUUUCUGUUUCACUACCAGCCUACUGUAUAUACGCUUCAGGAGACGUAGAUUUCAACUAUUUAGAAAAUAUUUCAUAGCAUACACUUUAUCUCGCUAUGUUAUCGCAGAGUAAAAAAAAUUCAUUCGAGAACACAACUGUCUCAUUUAGUAUGUUGUUUCUAGAAUUUGUUUGCUUUUCCGUUGUUGUUGUUUUGUCUUUUGCUCUUGUCUUUUGUUUGUUUGUUUGUUUGUUUGUUUGCCUGCAUUGGCCACUUCUUGGACUUAGCAACCAAACUUUCUUUGAACUUUCGGGGAACUGAAUGUCACUUUAUAAGAUGACCUGUUUUCUUUGCCCGUCAUUACUUCUUUGUUCUAAUUUCCUUUCAUUUAGUCGUAAUCUACGUCCCCUUAGUCACGCUGCUGAAUGGAAUCAAUUCAGGGAAAUAAAGGGUAGAUUGAGGGUUUAAGACUCGGCCAAAUGAUCGCAAGAUUUUGAAUACAACAUAUCGCAACGUUGUUGGGCGCAACAUGUUACGCGCGUUGGGCCACCCUGUUGCGACGUGUUGUUUCACGUUGGGUAUUGAAAA